RNAcentral lists this transfer RNA (78 nucleotides) under Desulfurellaceae bacterium. RNAcentral describes it as "tRNA-Asp". It matches the Rfam family "tRNA". From Rfam's summary of the family: Transfer RNA (tRNA) molecules are approximately 80 nucleotides in length. Lineage: Bacteria; Pseudomonadati; Campylobacterota; Desulfurellia; Desulfurellales; Desulfurellaceae. The record is from RNAcentral. RNAcentral also lists the same sequence under 1 other name.
GGGGUCGUAGUUCAGCUGGUUUAGAACGCCGGCCUGUCACGCCGGAGGUCGCGAGUUCGAGUCUCGUCGGCCCCGCCA